RNAcentral lists this ribosomal RNA (593 nucleotides) under uncultured bacterium. RNAcentral describes it as "bacterial SSU rRNA". It matches the Rfam family "Bacterial small subunit ribosomal RNA", at positions 232 to 823 of the family's 1533-position model. The record is from RNAcentral.
CGCGGCCUAUCAGCUUGUUGGUGGGGUAAUGGCCUACCAAGGCGACGACGGGUAGCCGGCCUGAGAGGGUGUCCGGCCACACUGGGACUGAGAUACGGCCCAGACUCCUACGGGAGGCAGCAGUGGGGAAUAUUGCACAAUGGGCGCAAGCCUGAUGCAGCGACGCCGCGUGGGGGAUGACGGCCUUCGGGUUGUAAACCUCUUUCACCAUCGGCGAAGCCCGUAGCUUUUGUUGUGGGUGACGGUAGGUGGAGAAGAAGCACCGGCCAACUACGUGCCAGCAGCCGCGGUAAUACGUAGGGUGCGAGCGUUGUCCGGAAUUACUGGGCGUAAAGAGCUCGUAGGUGGUUUGUCGCGUUGUCCGUGAAAUUCCCUGGCUUAACUGGGGGCGUGCGGGCGAUACGGGCAGACUGGCGUACUGCAGGGGAGACUGGAAUUCCUGGUGUAGCGGUGGAAUGCGCAGAUAUCAGGAGGAACACCGGUGGCGAAGGCGGGUCUCUGGGCAGUAACUGACGCUGAGGAGCGAAAGCGUGGGGAGCGAACAGGAUUAGAUACCCUGGUAGUCCACGCCGUAAACGGUGGGUACUAGGUGU